AUGCAGCAAAGGAUGCACAUCCAGUUGAUAGGACUGGGUGGACUUCUCAAGACACCUAGCAUCAAAAUUAGACGUGUACUAUGCAUGGCCAUCGCUAAUUCAUAUGAUGCAGAGGAUGCCUUUAUCAUCAAAGGGAGACCAUGUAGGAUCACACUAGAAGAUGUAGCGCAUAUAACAGGCAUGCCCUGCCAUGGGAAGAAGCACGACCCUUCAAAUCUUGAUGAUAAUAUGGAGUUGUGGAAAAAACUGAAAGACCGUAAUGACACCAAAAUAACUUUCAAAGGAUUGCUAGCCAAGAUGAAAGGCGACAACACACCAAAUUUUGUCAGGCCAUUUGUCUUGUACACCAUAGGCAAAUAUGUAUGCCGAACAAAAUAG
RNAcentral lists this ribosomal RNA (378 nucleotides) under Triticum aestivum (bread wheat). RNAcentral's name for it is "partial small subunit ribosomal RNA". The record is from RNAcentral. Lineage: Eukaryota; Viridiplantae; Streptophyta; Magnoliopsida; Poales; Poaceae.